GGCUCUCUGAGUCCCUUCUGGAUGACCGAGCUUCUCACCCUAUCUCUAAGGGAGAGCCCAGACACCCUAUGGAGAAAACUAAUUUUGGCCUCUUGUAUCUGUGAUCUCGUUCUUUCGGUCAUGACCCAAAGCUCAUGACCAUAGAUGAGGUGGGAUUCCAACAGAGUCAGAGUGUUUUGAGGCUCGGGCUGGUCGCUUUGUCCUCGGGAGCGGCGUCGGUGGAGCUGUUUGGUUUUCGGUUCAGAGCCGGCCAUGCUGAUUCAUCCAGGUUUGCUGAACUUCCUUCCUUAUUCCACCCCUAACUGAAAGUCACUGAUCAACAAAGACUUGGGUCAAUAGAGACAUGAAAGCUGUGAUUAAGCUGCAGUUGAUCCUGAUAGGAGUCUGUAGUGUUGAACCUUCCUGUGAUGGCAGAGAAAAUGGAGCUCAGUGUUUUGGAGUGUUGGGAGGAGCAGUAGCCGUUCAGCUGAUGGACAACGUGUCAGAAAUACCCAGAUUCUGGUGGAAAAUGAACAACUCUGUGAUACUAUAUUGGAGGAAUAACACAGUUGUUACUCCAAAGGACGACAGAAUUCCUUUUUUUCCCAGUAAUGGAACAGUCAGGAUCAAUGACUUGAGAAGGACUGACAGCGGUGAAUAUAAACUUGAAAUGUUUGGUAGAGAUGGAAAUAACAUAGGAUGGAGAACUCUGCAACUAUUUGUUAUAGCUCCUGUGUCCUCAGUCCAGCUGGUCCCUGAGUGUUUCUCUCACGGACAGGUGAAGGUGUCCUGUGUGUCUCAAGGUGACAGUCCUCAGUACAGCUGGACUCUGGAUGGACACACA
Poecilia reticulata (guppy) is the source of this 823-nucleotide non-coding RNA. The record is from RefSeq and is a predicted model, not a curated record. NCBI's taxonomy places the organism in Eukaryota, Metazoa, Chordata, Actinopteri, Cyprinodontiformes, Poeciliidae.